AUGAACGCUGGCGGCGUGCCUAAUACAUGCAAGUCGAGCGAACGGACGAGAAGCUUGCUUUUCUGAUGUUAGCGGCGGACGGGUGAGUAACACGUGGAUAACCUACCUAUAAGACUGGGAUAACUUCGGGAAACCGGAGCUAAUACCGGAUAAUAUUUUGAACCGCAUGGUUCAAAAGUGAAAGACGGUCUUGCUGUCACUUAUAGAUGGAUCCGCGCUGCAUUAGCUAGUUGGUAAGGUAACGGCUUACCAAGGCAACGAUGCAUAGCCGACCCGAGAGGGUGAUCGGCCACACUGGAACUGAGACACGGUCCAGACUCCUACGGGAGGCAGCAGUAGGGAAUCUUCCGCAAUGGGCGAAAGCCUGACGGAGCAACGCCGCGUGAGUGAUGAAGGUCUUCGGAUCGUAAAACUCUGUUAUUAGGGAAGAACAUAUGUGUAAGUAACUGUGCACAUCUUGACGGUACCUAAUCAGAAAGCCACGGCUAACUACGUG
Molecule: ribosomal RNA, 496 nt
Filed under: uncultured bacterium
Lineage: Bacteria
Description: partial 16S ribosomal RNA
Rfam family: Bacterial small subunit ribosomal RNA
Source: RNAcentral